CUACGGGUGGCACCAGUAAGGAAUAUUGGGCAAUGGACGCAAGUCUGACCCAGCCAUGCCGCGUGCAGGAUGACAGCCCUACGGGUUGUAAACUGCUUUUAUACGGGAAAAAUUCCCCGGUCGUGAAUCGGGGUUGAUGGUACCGUAAGAAUAAGCAUCGGCUAACUCCGUGCCAGCAGCCGCGGUAAUACGGAGGAUGCAAGCGUUAUCCGGAUUCAUUGGGUUUAAAGGGUGCGUAGGCGGAAUGAUAAGUCAGUGGUGAAAUCCUACAGCUUAACUGUAGAACUGCCAUUGAUACUGUUGUUCUUGAGUACAUUUGAAGUGGGCGGAAUGUGUCAUGUAGCGGUGAAAUGCAUAGAGAUGACACAGAACACCGAUCGCGAAGGCAGCUCACUAAACUGUAACUGACGCUGAGGCACGAAAGCGUGGGGAUCAAACAGGAUUAGAUACCCGUGUAGUC
This 460-nucleotide ribosomal RNA is filed under the name uncultured bacterium. RNAcentral's name for it is "partial 16S ribosomal RNA". It matches the Rfam family "Bacterial small subunit ribosomal RNA", at positions 339 to 795 of the family's 1533-position model. The record is from RNAcentral.